GGAGAGAGAGGAGAGCCUGGUAUACCCGGUCUGCCGGCAUCCAGCCUUACUGGAAUUAAAGGAGAUAAGGGAGAAAGAGGUCUUAUAGGACCUGAAGGUCCACCUGGACCUAGAGGAGAUGAUGGGGACAAAGGAGA
Molecule: non-coding RNA, 137 nt
Organism: Thamnophis sirtalis
Lineage: Eukaryota; Metazoa; Chordata; Lepidosauria; Squamata; Natricidae
Source: RefSeq, a predicted model, not a curated record